RNAcentral lists this ribosomal RNA (254 nucleotides) under uncultured bacterium. RNAcentral's name for it is "partial 16S ribosomal RNA". It matches the Rfam family "Bacterial small subunit ribosomal RNA", at positions 524 to 776 of the family's 1533-position model. The record is from RNAcentral.
UACGGGGGGAGCAAGCGUUGUUCGGAUUUACUGGGCGUAAAGGGCGCGUAGGCGGUCAGCACAAGUCAGUUGUGAAAUCUCCGGGCUUAACUCGGAAAGGUCAACUGAUACUGUGCGACUAGAGUGCAGAAGGGGCAACUGGAAUUCUCGGUGUAGCGGUGAAAUGCGUAGAUAUCUGGAGGAACACCGGUGGCGAAGGCGGCAUCCUGGACCGACACUGACGCUGAGGCGCGAAAGCUAGGGGAGCAAACGGG